AGAGUUUGAUCAUGGCUCAGAACGAACGCUGGCGGCGUGGAUAAGACAUGCAAGUCGAGCGCAAAUUCUGGUGUAGCAAUACAUCAGAGUUUGAGCGGCGCAAGGGUGCGUAACACGUGGGUAAUUUGCCGUGGAGUUGGGGAUAACUCGCUGAAAGGCGAGCUAAUACCGAAUGUGGUUACUGGAUGGCAUCAUCUGGAAACUAAAGCUGGGGAUCCGCAAGGACCUGGCGCUCUAUGAUAAGCCCGCGGCCUAUCAGCUAGUUGGUGCGGUAACGGCGCACCAAGGCUAAGACGGGUAGCUGGUCUGAGAGGACGACCAGCCACACUGGAACUGAGACACGGUCCAGACACCUACGGGUGGCAGCAGUCGAGAAUUUUUCUCAAUGGGCGCAAGCCUGAAGGAGCGACGCCGCGUGUGGGAUGAAGGGUUUCGAUCCGUAAACCACUGUCAUUUGUGAACAAUGGUUAUCCAUGAAUAGUGGAUGACUUGAUAGUAAUGAAAGAGGAAGGGACGGCUAACUCUGUGCCAGCAGCCGCGGUAAUACAGAGGUCCCGAGCGUUGUUCGGAUUCACUGGGCGUAAAGGGUGCGUAGGUGGCAUGGUAAGUUUGAUGUGAAAGCUCAGGGCUCAACCCUGAAAUGGCAUUGAAUACUACUGUGCUGGAGGUUUGGAGGGGGGACUGGAAUUCUUGAUGUAGCAGUGAAAUGCGUAGAUAUCAAGAGGAACACCAGUGGCGAAGGCGAGUCCCUGGACAACACCUGACACUGAGGCACGAAAGCCGGGGGAGCAAACAGGAUUAGAUACCCCGGUAGUCC
RNAcentral lists this ribosomal RNA (817 nucleotides) under uncultured Verrucomicrobia subdivision 3 bacterium. RNAcentral describes it as "bacterial SSU rRNA". It matches the Rfam family "Bacterial small subunit ribosomal RNA", at positions 8 to 796 of the family's 1533-position model. Lineage: Bacteria; Pseudomonadati; Verrucomicrobiota; Verrucomicrobiia; Limisphaerales. The record is from RNAcentral.